Molecule: ribosomal RNA, 511 nt
Filed under: uncultured Allobaculum sp.
Lineage: Bacteria; Bacillati; Bacillota; Erysipelotrichia; Erysipelotrichales; Erysipelotrichaceae
Description: partial 16S ribosomal RNA
Source: RNAcentral
CACGUAGUUAGCCGUGACUUCCCCGCCGGGUACCAUCGCUCAGAAAGCUUUCCACUCUUUCUGCCUUUUGUCCCCGGCAACAGAGCUUUACGAUCCGAAGACCUUCCUCGCUCACGCGGCAUUGCUCGUUCAGGGUUCCCCCCAUUGACGAAAAUUCCCUACUGCUGCCUCCCGCAGGAGUCUGGGCCGUGUCUCAGUCCCAGUGUGGCCGUCCGCCCUCUCAGGCCGGCUAUGCAUCGUCGCCUUGGUGAGCCGUUACCUCUCCAACCAGCUAAUGCACCGCAGGUCCAUCUGCAUGCGGGACUCUUGUCCCCUUUCAAAAGAGAUGCCUCCUCUUGCUCAUCCGGUAUCAGUCCUUUCCGUUUCCAGUAACGUUCUACCCGCUCAUGCAGGCACGGUUCCCUACGUUGUUACUCCUACCGUUCGCCACUCGAUACUCCGAAGAUUACUCCGUUCGACUUCGCUAUGUAUUAGGCUAGUCGCCGCCAGUCGUUCACGUCCUGGACGACCG